This 669-nucleotide ribosomal RNA is filed under the name soil bacterium Carb-S2N-M1LLLSSL-1. Its description in RNAcentral is "bacterial SSU rRNA". It matches the Rfam family "Bacterial small subunit ribosomal RNA", at positions 97 to 762 of the family's 1533-position model. The record is from RNAcentral.
GGCGAACGGGUGAGUAAUACAUCGGAACGUGUCCUGUAGUGGGGGAUAGCCCGGCGAAAGCCGGAUUAAUACCGCAUACGAUCUACGGAAGAAAGCGGGGGAUCUUCGGACCUCGCGCUAUAGGGGCGGCCGAUGGCAGAUUAGCUAGUUGGUGGGGUAAAGGCCUACCAAGGCGACGAUCUGUAGCUGGUCUGAGAGGACGACCAGCCACACUGGGACUGAGACACGGCCCAGACUCCUACGGGAGGCAGCAGUGGGGAAUUUUGGACAAUGGGGGAAACCCUGAUCCAGCAAUGCCGCGUGUGUGAAGAAGGCCUUCGGGUUGUAAAGCACUUUUGUCCGGAAAGAAAACUUCGGGGCUAAUACCUCUGGAGGAUGACGGUACCGGAAGAAUAAGCACCGGCUAACUACGUGCCAGCAGCCGCGGUAAUACGUAGGGUGCGAGCGUUAAUCGGAAUUACUGGGCGUAAAGCGUGCGCAGGCGGUCUGUUAAGACAGAUGUGAAAUCCCCGGGCUUAACCUGGGAACUGCAUUUGUGACUGGCAGGCUAGAGUAUGGCAGAGGGGGGUAGAAUUCCACGUGUAGCAGUGAAAUGCGUAGAGAUGUGGAGGAAUACCGAUGGCGAAGGCAGCCCCCUGGGCCAAUACUGACGCUCAUGCACGAAAGCGU